This 766-nucleotide long non-coding RNA is filed under the name Gadus morhua (Atlantic cod). RNAcentral's name for it is "lncRNA (ENSGMOG00000029020.1)". The record is from RNAcentral. Lineage: Eukaryota; Metazoa; Chordata; Actinopteri; Gadiformes; Gadidae.
CUAGCCUAUGAUUUGCAUUGGCCUAGGAUCCAACCUUUAAUCUCAUGUUGAUUACCUGUAGCAAAUAAAAAGAAAACAAAAAUUAAUACGACUGGGAGGGGGACCGCUCCACCGCCCUUCACCAUCUCGGAGGAGUUGGCUCUUGCCAACAACAAAGGUCGGCCAAUGAUGGUAGGAGUGGAUGGGGGGAUGUCGUCUGACCCCACUGCCUCGACAUCGAACCCGUUUGUAACGAGUAUGUAUUCAUGUAUUGGCAAUGGACAUAAAUAAUUGUCUUGCUAAUCAAAUGUGAAAUGAUUGAGUGUAAAUGAAUCGUGUCAUUUUUAGUUGAAGGUACAAACAUUGUUUUGGAGAAGCCGCCGACAAUUAAUCUCCAAUCAGAGGUAUAUAACUAUCAAAGCAGUGUCAGGUAUUCUUCUAAAUGUUUAAUUUUUUUGAAAGAAUGUCCUAUAAUAGGUGUCACUGAUUCUUGCAGGAAACACUGUCGGCCUGUGACUCCAGGGCGACUAUGGAGAGGGAAAUGGCAUUGGAUGAGCCAUCCACCUCAACCUCAACCUCCUCAAGGCCUUCUCGAGGGACAGACAAGGUUUUUAUUUAGGUUAUUCCUUUUGUAAGGUGCGCCACAAGGCUUUGACCAUGGUAACUGAAUUACGAUUGUAACCCAUAAUGCCUUUAGAUUGGAACAGACACUAUAAGGGCGCUGUACAAGCGCAACUUGGAGCUGGACAACGACAUCAAAGUCUUGGUGAAAAAAAAAUUGAAGAUC